UUGAAUCGAUUACUUUGAGUGGAGUUAAACGAAAGGAUCGAAUGGAUCGACACUCGUCAACUCGUCAACAGACUCAUUUUUAUUAACGUUCCUAAAACAAUGACUUCCAAGACUCAUUUAUAUGUAUGAGGGCCAAAACGAUGACUUGAGGUCGAGGAGGAAAGUGCAGUGCAGAGCAAACUAAUUAAUGACCAGCCAUGGAGACGAUUACUUUGGAGCAGCCAGUCAAAAGGGUCGAGACUCG
This is a long non-coding RNA of Erpetoichthys calabaricus (reedfish), 244 nucleotides long. RefSeq lists it as uncharacterized. The transcript has 3 exons. NCBI's taxonomy places the organism in Eukaryota, Metazoa, Chordata, Cladistia, Polypteriformes, Polypteridae. The record is from RefSeq and is a predicted model, not a curated record.